RNAcentral lists this long non-coding RNA (1596 nucleotides) under Vigna radiata. RNAcentral describes it as "long non-coding RNA (VRAD_LNC015842)". Lineage: Eukaryota; Viridiplantae; Streptophyta; Magnoliopsida; Fabales; Fabaceae. The record is from RNAcentral.
CGAACCCUAGAAAAAGAGGGGAAACUCAAUUUGGACAGAUUAAACGGUUGGAAUGGUGUAUUAAUCGGUGGAGAUGGAAGAUCGAAGGUUGGAAAGAUGUUUAAUCGGUCAAAAGGCCGAAUCAAUCGGUAGAAAUGGACGGAGAUGAUGAACGAAAGCUUUUAAUCGGUGUAAACCAAAAGGAAUGACGAAGGAUGAUGGUCUGUGAAGGAAAUGGAACUUACAGAGUAUGAAGAAUUCGAGCUAUGAUGAAGAUGCGCUUGGGAGGACGAAACCCUAGCAGAAGAUUUGUUUCGUAGUAGAGGGAGAUGCAAGUGAUGUGUGUUUGAUGUGCGAGAAUGAGAACGAAGCAUGGAUGAUGUGGUAGGCUUGUGAUGCGUACAUGAGACACUGAACAUGUGUCUGCAGAGCAAUGGAUCUCCGUGGAGGAUGACGUCGUGAUGAGAGAGAAAGCACAAUGGUAAAAAUGGAAAAUGGAAAAUGGAAGAAUGAGGUAGUGUGCUGGAAGGUGGCUAGAGGGAGUCUUUGGACUCUCUAGCCUAUGACUUUCAAGAGAGAAUGGUUUCUAUUUUAGAAAUCUCAAUUCUCAUUAAUCUCAAAAAGUGGGAAAUACAAUGAGGAGCUGGGUAUUUAUAGUGACCCAUGCUCCUUGCAAGCUACACUAUAGAUACAAUAAAAUGUAAAAUUAAGAAAAAAAGAACUAUGUCAGGGAGGAUUCCAUCAAGAUGUGCUCUUCUGACAUGAUUUUUACUAAAAUUGAAUUAAAAUUGUAUUAUUUUGAUGCAACUUCAAUCUAAUAUACAUUAAACUAAAAAUGCAUUAAACUUAAGUUGUGUUAUUUUGACAUAACUUCAACUUAAAAAUUCUACAUGCAUUAAAAUCGCAUAAUUCUUAUAUGAUUUUUUUUAUAAUUAAGUCAUGUCAAAAUGACACGAAGUUUUUUUUUUUUUUAAAUAUAUCAAUUUUGACAAUUUUUUUUAAAAAAAAUCCUAUACUAAUAUUAAAAAACCACUGAAAAGAUAAAUUCAAACCGUUAGAAAAAGGGUGUCAACAGGAUCCGUAAGGAUGAUACCCAAUCCUAAAAUUGUGUAUACAUGGUAAUAAAGGUACGGGUGGGAAAUCAAACUGAACUGCACUGCAUUACUAAAAAUUGUAUUGAACUAAAAAUUAGUUUGUGUAAACUAAAAUGCACUAAAAAAAACAGUUCAAACAAACUGAAUUGAACUGUUUUUUGUUUUAUCAAACUGUACAGAAUUGAACUAUACUAAAUUGUACUAAACUACACGAUAAACUGAACUGAACUACUAACUAUACUAAUUUUAAAUUGAAUUAUACUAAUUUUAACCAAGAACUGCACUAACUAUACAACACUAAGAACUUCAUAAAACUAAAGAAUCAGAAUCUAUGUUCAACAUAUGUUUCUGGAUGUUAUCAAAAGAUAUAACUCCAUUGGAAGACGUUAAACUUAUUUUUAUUUUCAGUAAAAAUAAAAAUAAUAAUAAACGAGUAUGAUAUAUAAUUAUGAAAAAGUAGAAUAUACAAAUAUAAAUAAAUACAAAUAACUAAGUUACAUGUUCUAUGAGAAAAAUAUAAUUU